RNAcentral lists this ribosomal RNA (505 nucleotides) under uncultured bacterium. RNAcentral describes it as "bacterial SSU rRNA". It matches the Rfam family "Bacterial small subunit ribosomal RNA", at positions 903 to 1397 of the family's 1533-position model. The record is from RNAcentral.
AAAGGAAUAGACGGGGGCCCGCACAAGCAGCGGAGCAUGUGGUUUAAUUCGAAGCAACGCGUAGAACCUUACCAGGGCUUGACAUGUCAGGGAAUCCGGGCGAAAGCCUGGAGUGCCAUCCUGUGUGGGAUGGAGCCCUGACACAGGUGGUGCAUGGUUGUCGUCAGCUCGUGUCGUGAGAUGUUGGGUUAAGUCCCGCAACGAGCGCAACCCCUGUCGCAUGUUGCCAGCGGGUAAAGCCGGGCACUCAUGCGAGACUGCCGGCGACAAGCCGGAGGAAGGUGGGGAUGACGUCAAAUCAUCAUGCCCCUGAUGUCCUGGGCUACACACGUGCUACAAUGGCCGCUACAGAGCGAGCCGAACCCGUGAGGGGGAGGAAAUCGCCAAAGGCGGUCCCAGUUCGGAUCGCAGGCUGCAACUCGCCUGCGUGAAGCCGGAGUUGCUAGUAAUCGCGGAUCAGCACGCCGCGGUGAAUACGUUCCCGGGCCUUGUACACACCGCCCGU